Long non-coding RNA from Lepidothrix coronata (blue-crowned manakin), 2989 nucleotides. Lineage: Eukaryota; Metazoa; Chordata; Aves; Passeriformes; Pipridae. The record is from Ensembl.
CCUGGCUUUCCCCAGCUUGCUGCUCCCACCAUUCCUUCUGUGUGGGGAGACCUGAGACCGCAGCUCCCCCCAGCUAUGUCCCCAGGAAGGCCAGGAAAAGUCAGCAGUUCCAGCAGCCCAGGCUCUUCUUGCCUGUGUCAACAGACACAUUUCAGCCUAAUUAGCUUGCCAGGUUUAUGACACUUCACUCCUUUGGGUUCUUCUGGCUGCUGAAGCACGGGGCAGUGAGAUGGAUGAGGUUUCCCUCCAUGUGUGACAGUCCUUGACUCCCAUUCAUGCUCUGGGGUACAAAUCUGGGGGCUCAGCACCUGCUUUUUGCAGCUGUGAGAGGUGGCUUCAUCCCGUGGAGAAUUCCUGCUCCAUGGCUGGGACAGUGAUGGGGCUGCAGGGCUUUCACUGCUCAGGGUUUUCAGCUGGCUCAGUGCCCCUGCCCCAGGAGUGGAAGGGAUGGAGCAGUGUCCCAGGACUGGGAGGGAUGGAACAGUGUCCCAGAUCUGGCAAGCCUGAAACCCUACAAAAAAAUUUAAAGUGCUUCCCAAGCCCUUUGAUUUUGCCACAAGAAUUGAAGGUGGCAGUCACAGUCAACUGGAUUAAAGAGACUAGUCAGGAAAAAUCCAGGAACUCAACAAAAUUGGAAAUUUGAGAAGAUUUAUGAGUUAUUCAAAAUUUUGCUGAACUUCUUCAUCCUCUCCAAGUCCUGCAGGCCAGGGGGGAUUCCUGAUGAGCCAGAGCCUUUCCCACCAUCCCCAAACUCCCAGGCAUUGCAACAGAGAUGUUCUUUCUCCCUUUCACCUGCUUUCACCCCAGAGCAAAGGAGCUGCAGCCUCCCCGAGCCUUCACCUCCCUGGGCUCGUGCUGGGGCAGUGGUGCCAUCCUGCCUGCUCCUGCUGCUGCUGCUGCUGCUGCUCACAGCCCAGGGAGCAGAAUUCCAGCUGUUUGCAGCCACCUCCCUGCCACGACCCCCCAGUCAGACCAACUCACAGCAACUGCAGUUCCAGGGUCAGUGCAGAACCUGCUCUCGAAGGUCCUUUGUGUCCCCCCAGUGUCCCCACUGAAGCCAGCAGAGCCUUUGGCCCCUAGGCCCUCACAGAGUGAUUCCUCACAUCCUCCCCUCAGCAGGUUGGGGGGCCUUGAGAAACAAGAGGCUUUGGAACCCCCAGGCCCUGCACCCCCUGAGCUUUGCUGCCCUUCCUGCAGCGCUGGCUAACCCAGAGCAAGCCAUGGCCUCUGGACUCCCCCGUUCCUGCCCAACACCAGCAAUAGCAAGGCCUGUUUUCUGUCCCCCAAGCUUGCACAAGGUCUUUGCCCUGUUAAAUCCUAUGCAACCCCCUCUCCUCUCACCAGGACUCUCCAGAUCCCAGCCCAGCCCAUUCUCUCUGCUCUUCUCCCAUGACUGCUGAAUUCUCCCUCCCUGCUGCUCUCAGAGUCCACCUUCAUUUCUAGCAGCUCCAAAAGCAUUCCAAGUCCUGUGCCCUGGGGCUGGGAGGGGGCAGAUGAGGGCUGAGACAGCAGGAACACCUCUUCCAAGUCAUUCUGUGGGAGCUGAGCACUGAACUGGAGGGGGCAAGGCCUGGUGCUGGGGCCCCUCCACACCCCCUUCACCCUCCCGUGCCUUCUGCUCACUGCCAUCCUUCAUCCCCCGUGCCCUGAAGGGAGAAGUUGAGUCCCACCGUGGUGCUGCCCGGACUGUUCUCUUAGCACCUGAACCUCAGGCUUGGCUUGGCCGCUCUCCCUUCAGCCCCCCAAGCCUGAAGGAGUGUUUCCCUGUCUCCCCUGCUCCUCAGCCUCUCCAGCCAGCACCUCUGAGCUGUUUCCCUUGGCAGUGGGGCAUCAGCUGGGGUGGAGGCAGGAGGAUUCGGGAGGUCAGUCCCAUGGCAUGGCUGCCUCUCCCUGCCUUUGGGGCAGGUGGGGGAGGACCUGGUGCUCUGUGCUUGGAUUUUCAGGGCAAUUCAGCCCUUCCUGGGAGCCAGCACUGCCAUGCCUUGGCCUGCAGGACUCCCACAGGAGGGUGGGCUCUGGUUAGGAGGGUGGUGCAGGCUCCAGGUGUUCUGCCAAACCUUUUGUGCCCAUCCUGCAGCCCAGCCCAGGGCAGGAGGCAGUCCUGCCGUGGCUCUCCAUGCUGGUAUUACUGUUCCCCUGGUUUUGUCCAUCUUCUGCUCCCUGGGGCUCUCAGUUCCCACCCUGGCCCAGCCAAGCACCUGCCAUGAUGGAGGGCAAACAGUUUGACACUGGUACAUCUCGGCUCCGCUGUGGCACCAGCACAGGAGAGCAAAGGGGUUUUUUGCUUCCAAACGGGAUGUUCUGGUACCAAGAGCAUCCCCACGCCCUGCACCCCUGGGCUGUGCUUAGGGGAGCCGUGUUGCUCCUCGAGGCAGCAAGCUGGGACACCACAGGUGUGCCAUCCAUGUCUUCCCAAAUCACUUGAACCCACCGGCUGUGGAGCAAACCUUGUAACGUGGGGCCUCUUGGGCAGGGAAGGAGCCGUGGUUACUGUGCCAGGAGAGGGGAGAGGGGAAAGAGGCACCUGGAGAGGCAGGACAGGGAUGAUCCCAACCCCCUGCUGGGGAAUGACCCAGCGGGUGUGGAGGGUUCCUGCUCUUGGGAAUGACCUGUUGGGUGUGGAGGGCUCCAGCUCCUGGGGAAACAAAGCAUUCCUGGGGAAACAAAGCAUUCCUGGGAUGCUCCUUCUCUAUAUUUUUGUAGGAUGGGGGGUGGGAGAGCAGAUGGGAGAUGCCUGCGGAAGUUGUUUAUUUUUAACCCUGGUUGGUUUUGGUUUUUGGCCUUUAAAAAAAAAAAAAAAUGGUCCUUGCUUUUGAUGUUUAUGCUGCCUACCUGUAAAUCCAGAUGUACUUAAGUGGCUGAAAUCCUUGUUCUUAAAUCAGAUACACAUUAUAGUUUUGAACUAUAUAUAUAGUAAAUAUAUAUAUAUAUAUGCCUAACCCAGCAAAAAAAAAAUAAAAAAAUAAAGUAUUUGGGGGUGGGAAAUGCG